AACGAACGCUGGCGGCAUGCCUAACACAUGCAAGUCGAACGAAAGCUUCGGCCUUAGUGGCGCAGUGGUGCGUAACGCGGGGGAAUGUGCCCUUUGGUUCGGCAUAACAGCUGGAAACGGCUGGUAAUACCGGAGGAUGACGAAAUUCCAAAGAUUUGUCGCCAGAGGAUGAGCGCGCGUUGGAUUAGGUAGUUGGUGGGGUAAAGGCCUGCCUAGCCGACGAUUCAUAGCUUGGCUGGGAGGAUGAUCAGCCACACUGGGACUGGGAGAGGGCCCGGGAUGCUACGGGAGGAAGCAGUGGGGAAUAUUAGCCGCUGGGCGCAAGCCUGGUCCAGCAAUGCCGCGUGAGUGAUGAAGGCUUUAGGGUUGUAAAGGUCUUUUACGCGGGAAGAUAAUGAAGGUACCGGGAGAAUAAGCCCCGGCUAACUCCGUG
This 433-nucleotide ribosomal RNA is filed under the name uncultured bacterium. RNAcentral's name for it is "partial 16S ribosomal RNA". It matches the Rfam family "Bacterial small subunit ribosomal RNA", at positions 29 to 507 of the family's 1533-position model. The record is from RNAcentral.